Molecule: long non-coding RNA, 2109 nt
Organism: Bombus pascuorum
Lineage: Eukaryota; Metazoa; Arthropoda; Insecta; Hymenoptera; Apidae
Exons: 2
Source: RefSeq, a predicted model, not a curated record
UUAAAUUUCGAUGUAAAAUCUCACCACUAUUUAGUUCAUCGCUUGUUAUGCAACAACUAUGAAGAUCAAACACUAUUACAAACAAGUAUAUAAAGAAAUAAUCUUUCAACCCUUAACGAACAUAACUCGGUCCGCCUGUAAGGAUUCCCGAGAAAAUAUCAAGCUCUUUACAUCUCAAAAUUUCCUUCCUUUCUUCUAUUUUUCCUUGUUCAAAGAUAAACGGUGGUAGAAUCCAGAUCCUCGGACGGGAUAUGAAUCACACGUCGGAAUCCAGUGCAAUCUGUCUGCCAGACGGUUUGCUUCCGGUGUCGUUUAUCGAGUACGCGGCGAUCGGAUAGAACACGCGUGGCUGUGUACUGUGUAUACACGCACACGAGGAAUCCCGAUGGAAUCCCGACGGAAUAGGCUAAGAGAGCACUUGAGGAUGCCUAGUCUCUGGCAGUGAAUGGCGGCACGAGUGGCGGACAUUUCGGUGCCUCCAAAGCUCAUUGGUCCGCAGCUGACGUGUACAAGGAAAUGGCAUUUAACGGAUUAAAAGCGGCCAUCCAGACAGCUAACGCAAUAGUUCCCGAUAACGGCUGGCUAGAGUUAGAAUAUUUUUUUCCCCGUUCCCCUUCUAUCCUUUUCUUUUUUUUAUUUUUUUGUGUUUUCUACUUUUUGCUUUUUGCUUCUAUUUUUCCCCAUGUUUCUUUUUUAAAUCGUUUUUUGGUUUCUCGUCGAGCAUUCGUUUUUUUUUUUUCAUCCCAGGCUCGCUUCGCUCGCGUACACGCGCGACCAGCCUAUUGAUUUCGAGCAAAGUGCCAACCAUUCCAACCUACGAAUCACUUUACUUCGAUCGAACCAUCACUGAUAAGGAUAUCGAUGAUACUCGCGAUUUCAGAAGGUAAGUGAAAAUAAACGAUUAAGAUUUGCUGAUCUGAUUCUUUGCGUUUGUUAACAGGAAACUCGAAGAAAAUGAUGGAUCGUGGCACUCGGUUAAAUGGAGAACACUCCUGCGGACGCAGAAAGGGUGUAUCAUAAUUUAAGACCUGUUCGCUGCGGUGAUGUUGGUUCGCUGAAUAGGUGUUACGAUUGAUGGUUGUUGGGAGUUUGAACAUGUUUUCUACGGUGAAGUUUUGUGGUUAACACCAGGUCUGGAAGAAUCAUUCCGAGAAUUUACGGCGAGCUUGUUGCCAAAACCACUGGUGUAAAGAAAGGGAACUCGCAGACAUAAAGGAGACGGAGACUUGCGACGAUAAUGGCCCUCUCAGACGAAGAAGUUAAUUUGGGAAAGAGGAUUCCGUCGCGGACAAAACGCUUGUAAUCCUUAACAAAGGGUGGUCUCAACUUCCCUAGCCUGCGUUGUCCCGAGGAUGGUAAUCUGCAAAGAGGGAGAACGGUCCCUCCAAGUUGAUUCUUCGUUCCUCGUGUUUGACAGUGGGGGAGGUUUGUUAUCGACGAACAACGUUUUAAGAAUUCUUGUUUGAUUCGAAUCAGAGGUGUGAAUAUAUGCAUUGAUUUUUGAUAUUAAUAUUGAUUUAGGGAGGAAGAAACGAACUUUAUCGUAAAAAUAAAUUUCCCUUUUAUCGUAUAGAACGAUGUGUUUAUAUCUCUAUACCGUGGAAGAUAAUUAAAGGAUCGUUUUCUAUGAUUUUUAUAUUCAUUACUUGUAAAUUUAUUAGUAUGUAUGUUUUAACUAUAAUUUUUAUUAUGAUUCAUCCUCUUGUAUUUAAUUUUUCAGGGUUUUUAGUUUUUAUAUUUAUAAAGCAUACAAUCAAGCCUUGAAACGAAAAUAUAUUACACGUGUCGUAGGUAUACUACAUUCAUAAUAAAUAACUAUAUCCUUUUCUUUCUGCUCUCCUCGAAACAAAUGUUUAUGCGUUGCUUAAGCUGCUCGUAUGGUUUGUUCAUUUUUUACAAUUAUUACGUUACAUAAGUGAAAAAUCUCUACGUAAAUGGAGCAACUCUUAAAAUGCUAACAAAUGCAUUUAUGUAUUUUUUCAUAUCACGAAUAUUAUGAACAUUUAUGAUGAUAAUUUUAAAAUUUGUUUCGAGUAUGGAAAUAAACGUGUACGUGUACGUGUAUAUUCAUGUUAUAACGUUAAUAAAGAUGUACGCGAACGAAUAGAG